RNAcentral lists this ribosomal RNA (253 nucleotides) under uncultured microorganism. Its description in RNAcentral is "partial 16S ribosomal RNA". It matches the Rfam family "Bacterial small subunit ribosomal RNA", at positions 524 to 776 of the family's 1533-position model. The record is from RNAcentral.
UACGUAGGGUGCGAGCGUUAAUCGGAUUUACUGGGCGUAAAGCGCGCGUAGGCGGUGCGGUAAGUCAGGGGUUAAAGGCUGCAGCUCAACUGCAGUAAGGCCUUUGAUACUAUCGUGCUAGAGUGUCAGAGAGGAUGGCGGAAUUCCCGGUGUAGCGAUGAAAUGCGUAGAUAUCGGGAGGAACACCAGUAGCGAAGGCGGCCAUCUGGCUGAUAACUGACGCUGAGGUGCGAGAGCGUGGGGAGCAAACAGG